AUUGAACGCUGGCGGCAGGCUUAACACAUGCAAGUCGAGCGGAAACGAUGAUAGCUUGCUAUCAGGCGUCGAGCGGCGGACGGGUGAGUAAUACUUAGGAAUCUACCUAGUAGUGGGGGGUAGCUCGGGGAAACUCGAAUUAAUACCGCAUACGACCUACGGGAGAAAGGGGGCAACUUGUUGCUCUCGCUAUUAGAUGAGCCUAAGUCGGAUUAGCUAGAUGGUGGGGUAAAGGCCUACCAUGGCGACGAUCUGUAGCUGGUCUGAGAGGAUGGACGGCCACAAGGGGACUGAGAUACGGCCCUU
Molecule: ribosomal RNA, 306 nt
Filed under: uncultured bacterium
Lineage: Bacteria
Description: bacterial SSU rRNA
Rfam family: Bacterial small subunit ribosomal RNA
Source: RNAcentral